Molecule: non-coding RNA, 45 nt
Organism: Schistosoma margrebowiei
Lineage: Eukaryota; Metazoa; Platyhelminthes; Trematoda; Strigeidida; Schistosomatidae
Source: Rfam
AUCCAGCUGAAGAGUCCCAAAUAGGACAAAACGUGUGUCCUGGAU